This 253-nucleotide ribosomal RNA is filed under the name uncultured bacterium. Its description in RNAcentral is "partial 16S ribosomal RNA". It matches the Rfam family "Bacterial small subunit ribosomal RNA", at positions 524 to 776 of the family's 1533-position model. The record is from RNAcentral.
UACGAAGGGGGCAAGCGUUGUUCGGAAUUACUGGUCGUAAAGGGCGCGUAGGCGGCUUAUCAAGUCAGGCGUGAAAUUCCCGGGCUCAACCUGGGGGCUGCGCUUGAUACUGAUGAGCUUGAAUGCGGGAGAGGAUAGUGGAAUUCCCAGUGUAGAGGUGAAAUUCGUAGAUAUUGGGAAGAACACCAGUGGCGAAGGCGGCUAUCUGGCCCGUAAUUGACGCUGAGGCGCGAAAGCGUGGGGAGCAAACAGG